This 430-nucleotide ribosomal RNA is filed under the name uncultured bacterium. Its description in RNAcentral is "bacterial SSU rRNA". It matches the Rfam family "Bacterial small subunit ribosomal RNA", at positions 354 to 776 of the family's 1533-position model. The record is from RNAcentral.
GUGGGGAAUCUUGGGCAAUGGGCGCAAGCCUGACCCAGCCAUGCCGCGUGUGUGAAGAAGGCCUUCGGGUUGUAAAGCACUUUCAGUAGCGAAGAAAAGCUUAGGGUUAAUACCUCUGGGUUUUGACGUUAACUACAGAAGAAGCACCGGCUAACUCCGUGCCAGCAGCCGCGGUAAUACGGAGGGUGCGAACGUUAAUCGGAAUUACUGGGCGUAAAGCGCGCGUAGGCGGUUCGACAAGUGGGGUGUGAAAGCCCAGGGCUUAACCUUGGAACUGCAUUCCAAACUGUCGGACUAGAGUAUGGUAGAGGGAGGUAGAAUUUCCUGUGUAGCGGUGAAAUGCGUAGAUAUAGGAAGGAAUACCGGUGGCGAAGGCGGCCUCCUGGACCAAUACUGACGCUGAAGUGCGAAAGCGUGGGGAGCAAACAGG